AAUCAACGCUGGCGGCGUGCCUCAGACAUGCAAGUCGAACGAUUAAAGCUCUCUUCGGAGAGUGUAUAGAGUGGCGCACGGGUGAGUAACACGUAAGUAAUCUACCUUUGAGUGGGGAAUAACCCGGGGAACCCGAGCUAAUACCGCAUAAUGCAGCGGCACCGCAAGGUGACAGUUGUUAAAGGAGCAAUCCGCUUAAAGAGGAGCUUGCGGCAGAUUAGCUAGNGGUAAGGUAAUGGCUUACCAAGGCUUCGAUCUGUAUCCGGCCUGAGAGGGCGGUCGGACACACUGACACUGAAUAACGGGUCAGACUCCUACGGGAGGCAGCAGUCGGGAAUUUUGGGCAAUGGGCGAAAGCCUGACCCAGCAACGCCGCGUGAAGGAUGAAGUAUUUCGGU
This 398-nucleotide ribosomal RNA is filed under the name uncultured bacterium. Its description in RNAcentral is "bacterial SSU rRNA". It matches the Rfam family "Bacterial small subunit ribosomal RNA", at positions 32 to 422 of the family's 1533-position model. The record is from RNAcentral.